UACAGAGGGUGCAAGCGUUAAUCGGAAUUACUGGGCGUAAAGCGCGCGUAGGUGGAUACUUAAGUCGGAUGUGAAAGCCCUGAGCUUAACUCAGGAACUGCAUCCGAUACUGGGUAUCUAGAGUAUGGUAGAGGGAAGUGGAAUUUCCGGUGUAGCGGUGAAAUGCGUAGAUAUCGGAAAGAACAUCAGUGGCGAAGGCG
RNAcentral lists this ribosomal RNA (200 nucleotides) under uncultured bacterium. RNAcentral describes it as "partial 16S ribosomal RNA". It matches the Rfam family "Bacterial small subunit ribosomal RNA", at positions 524 to 723 of the family's 1533-position model. The record is from RNAcentral.